CUUUGUGGAUCAGUGCGAACGGGUGAGUAACACGUGAGCAACCUGCCCUGGACUCUGGGAUAAGCGCCGGAAACGGCGUCUAAUACUGGAUAUGAGCCUCUUCCGCAUGGUGGGGGUUGGAAAGAUUUUUGGUUCUGGGAUGGGCUCGCGGCNUAUCAGCUUGUUGGUGAGGUAAUGGCUCACCAAGGCGUCGACGGGUAGCCGGCCUGAGAGGGUGACCGGCCACACUGGGACUGAGACACGGCCCAGACUCCUACGGGAGGCAGCAGUGGGGAAUAUUGCACAAUGGGCGGAAGCCUGAUGCAGCAACGCCGCGUGAGGGAUGACGGCCUUCGGGUUGUAAACCUCUUUUAGCAGGGAAGAAGCGAAAGUGACGGUACCUGCAGAAAAAGCGCCGGCUAACUACGUGCCAGCAGCCGCGGUAAUACGUAGGGCGCAAGCGUUAUCCGGAAUUAUUGGGCGUAAAGAGCUCGUAGGCGGUUUGUCGCGUCUGCUGUGAAAUCCCGAGGCUCAACCUCGGGCCUGCAGUGGGUACGGGCAGACUAGAGUGCGGUAGGGGAGAUUGGAAUUCCUGGUGUAGCGGUGGAAUGCGCAGAUAUCAGGAGGAACACCGAUGGCGAAGGCAGAUCUCUGGGCCGUAACUGACGCUGAGGAGCGAAAGGGUGGGGAGCAAACAGGCUUAGAUACCCUGGUAGUCCACCCCGUAAACGUUGGGAACUAGUUGUGGGGACCAUUCCACGGUUUCCGUGACGCAGCUAACGCAUUAAGUUCCCCGCCUGGGGAGUACGGCCGCAAGGCUAAAACUCAAAGGAAUUGACGGGGACCCGCACAAGCGGCGGAGCAUGCGGAUUAAUUCGAUGCAACGCGAAGAACCUUACCAAGGCUUGACAUACACCAGAACGGGCCAGAAAUGGUCAACUCU
Molecule: ribosomal RNA, 922 nt
Filed under: Microbacterium kyungheense
Lineage: Bacteria; Bacillati; Actinomycetota; Actinomycetes; Micrococcales; Microbacteriaceae
Description: bacterial SSU rRNA
Rfam family: Bacterial small subunit ribosomal RNA
Source: RNAcentral